This 421-nucleotide unclassified non-coding RNA is filed under the name soil metagenome. RNAcentral's name for it is "partial contains 5.8S ribosomal RNA, internal transcribed spacer 2, and large subunit ribosomal RNA". The stretch from base 1 to 120 matches the Rfam family "5.8S ribosomal RNA", at positions 35 to 154 of the family's 154-position model. The record is from RNAcentral.
GAUGAAGAACGCAGUGAAAUGCGAUACGUAAUGUGAAUUGCAGAAUUCAGUGAAUCAUCGAAUCUUUGAACACAUAUUGCGCUCUUUGGUAUUCCGAAGAGCAUGCUUGUUUGAGUAUCAGUAAACACCUCAACCUCUUCUUGAUUUUUCAAAAGGAGGGUGGACUUGAGCUAUCCCAACAACCUUUACCGGUCGGCGGGCGGCUUGAAAUGCAGGUGCAGCUGGACUUUUAUCUGAGCUAAAAGCAUAUCUAUUUAGUCCUCGUCAAACAGGAUUAUUACUUUUGCUGCAGCUAACAUAAAGGAUAAUUGUCCUCUUUGCUGACUGAUGCAGGAUUUUACGACACUUUAUGUGUUGUUCAACUCGAUCUCAAAUCAAGUAAGACUACCCGCUGAACUUAAGCAUAUCAAUAAGCGGAGGA